Long non-coding RNA from Bos taurus (domestic cattle), 1006 nucleotides. Lineage: Eukaryota; Metazoa; Chordata; Mammalia; Artiodactyla; Bovidae. The record is from Ensembl.
GGAGACUCUGCCUUGGACCCACUGGUGUAAUAAACUGCACUCCACUAUUUGUGUGGUCCUUCUGAGUGAGUUUGCUUCCCGAAGAGCAUGGCUACAACAUUUUCGGUGCAUUGGCCAGGAAGCGCCUCACUUUGAGGAGACAAGUCCCAUUUGGAGCUACUCCGGGGCCGUGCGGCUUGAAUCACCUAGAGGGGCGCAUUUCAGCCAGAAAAGUUUGGUUGUUGGCUGCUGCAAUAUGUGGACGAUCUGCUCCUGGCCGCUGAGAACAAGGAUGAUUGCUGGGAAGGAACCAAGGCCUCGCUGAGACUGCUGAUGGAGGCUGGUUACCGGGUCUCGAAAAAGAAGGCUCGGAUCUGCAAGGAGGAGGUGAGGUAUUUGGGAUUUGUUCUAAAGAGGGGCACAAGGCUGUUGGGCCAGUCCAGUGCCAUGCCUCUAUCUGUGAUGGACGGGCUCCCAUGGCGGGUACCACCUCUACGGAGGGGUGAUAUGCCUAUGGGAUUUUUUUGCAUCGAGCAAGACAACAAAAAUCAAGUAUAGAAUGGCAUUAGACAUACUCACUGCCGCGCAGGGAGGAACCUGUGCCAUACUUAAGGUUGAAUGUUGUGUAUGGAACCUGUGCCGUACUUAAGGCUGAACGUUGUGUAUACAUUCCUGAUUUAUCUGGCAAUGUAACGACUGCUUUGGGUGACAUGAAGGACCAAGUAAAAGCAAUGUCAGAUGAAAAUAUUCCCUUCUGGACCUUGGUCCUAUCUUGGGUAAAGGGUGAUUGGUGGAAAACUGUGCUCACUGUUAUUAUAGUCAUUUUAAUAGUUCUGUUAUGUGGACCUUGCAUUUUACAAUGUGUUGUUAACUUUGUAUCCCAGAGACUAACCUCACUUCCCCAGAUCAGCAUUAGGAGGCCUAGGAUACAAUAUAUUCCUAUGAGCAAUGCUUCUACUGAGAGUUAGGAGCAUCAAGAGAGAGGAAUGAAAGACGAAAGUGGGCAAAGCGGACUCCAUCUUGGCUG